CUUAGUUUCACUACAAACUAAUACAAACUUAUUUCCCCUUAAAAUAUUUCUUCCAUGAUUGAUUAGUCAAGAUGGCAGUCUCAGAUCAAGACUUGCUGAAGAAAUGUCAUUAAUAAUAAUCCUUUUUGCCACAGUAGUAUGACAGUGAAGGCUGAAUACAGACAAAGCUCCUUAUUGGAAGGAGAAGCUCUUGGUGACCUGCAAUUACAAAAAACCUAAAUAACAUUUUCCUUAACUACAGUGGCCAUGGAGAGGGGAGAGAAGAUAGCACAGGUGGAAAAGAGAGAAAAUGAAGAAAAAGGAAAAAAAUAAUCAGAUGCAAGAACAUUAGACACCUGCAUUUCUUUCCUAGGAGCUUCAUAAGCUCAUUGGACUGGAAUAUGCUUUCACCUACAUUUAGCAAAUUCAGGAAAAAUUCUGCUGAAGGCAACAGUUAUAUACAUACAAAAAUUGUAUAAGGCCCACUGUGUCUGCAGACACAAUUCUGUAUAUUCACUAUCUGGCUGUUUUGCAAGUACAGGUACCCUACUGUGUUUCUGUUCCAAUGAAAGAAUCUGGAAGCACUUCAAAAUAACAAAAUCUCCCUAGUCCUUUGAAGCUGGCCUUUGAACCUACUGAGACAGCUGGUAGCGACAUGGUGUGGGCAUGGUAUUACCCUGGUUUCCUAUUGAAGAGCUGUAUAUGGAUGACAAAAGGAGAAAGAGCACAAUAUACAACACUACAGAGGCCCUGCUAACACCCUGGGGAAGCAAACCUCUUGCUUUCCAAAUUUGUAGCAUAAGCAUUACUACACAAGGCCAUUUGAAGAGGAAACACAAGUUAUUAUGGGGGAAAUAUGGAGCACCUUUUCAGUUUUUUUAUGUUGGUGAGGGACUUAGAAAUCCAAGAAGUCCUUGGAAGGAUAUACAUUUCAAGGUUAUCAGGUAAAAUGAACGAACAAGGAAACUGACAAAAACUAUGAGAUAAAACUUAUACUGUCUCAAAAAUAAUUGGUGUAUAUAUAUAAUAUUUAAACAUAUAAAUAAUAUAAUAAAUAAAUAAAUAAAUAAAUAAAUAUUCUAUCA
RNAcentral lists this long non-coding RNA (1064 nucleotides) under Cyanistes caeruleus (blue tit). RNAcentral describes it as "lncRNA (ENSCCEG00000002950.1)". The record is from RNAcentral. Lineage: Eukaryota; Metazoa; Chordata; Aves; Passeriformes; Paridae.